UAGAAAGGAUGAACUUUGUGAAUAGAAUCA
This 30-nucleotide non-coding RNA is filed under the name Rattus norvegicus (Norway rat). The record is from RNAcentral. Lineage: Eukaryota; Metazoa; Chordata; Mammalia; Rodentia; Muridae.